UGGGGAAUAUUGCACAAUGGGGGAAACCCUGAUGCAGCGACGCCGCGUGAACGAAGAAGGUAUUCGUAUCGUAAAGUUCUGUCCUAUGGGAAGAUAAUGACAGUACCAUAGAAGAAAGCUCCGGCUAAAUACGUGCCAGCAGCCGCGGUAAUACGUAUGGAGCGAGCGCUGUCCGGAAUUAUUGGGCGUAAAGGGUACGCAGGCGGUUUAAUAAGUCGAAUGUUAAAGAUCGGGGCUCAACCCCGUAAAGCAUUGGAAACUGAUAAACUUGAGUAGUGGAGAGGAAAGUGGAAUUCCUAGUGUAGUGGUGAAAUACGUAGAUAUUAGGAGGAAUACCAGUAGCGAAGGCGACUUUCUGGACACAAACUGACGCUGAGGUACGAAAGCGUGGGGAGCAAACAAG
Molecule: ribosomal RNA, 403 nt
Filed under: bacterium
Lineage: Bacteria
Description: partial 16S ribosomal RNA
Rfam family: Bacterial small subunit ribosomal RNA
Source: RNAcentral